This 452-nucleotide ribosomal RNA is filed under the name uncultured bacterium. RNAcentral describes it as "bacterial SSU rRNA". It matches the Rfam family "Bacterial small subunit ribosomal RNA", at positions 8 to 458 of the family's 1533-position model. The record is from RNAcentral.
AGAGUUUGAUCCUGGCUCAGGAUGAACGCUAGCGGGAGGCUUAACACAUGCAAGUCGAGGGGUAAGGAGAUAGCAAUAUUUCCCUAGACCGGCGCACGGGUGAGUAACGCGUAUGCAACCUGCCCUUUACAGGGGGAUAGCCCGGAGAAAUCCGGAUUAAUACCCCAUAGAUCUGCAGAUCCGCAUGGAUUAACAGAUAAAGCUGAGGCGGUAAAGGAUGGGCAUGCGUGACAUUAGCUAGUUGGCGGGGUAACGGCCCACCAAGGCUACGAUGUCUAGGGGUUCUGAGAGGAAGGUCCCCCACACUGGUACUGAGACACGGACCAGACUCCUACGGGAGGCAGCAGUGAGGAAUAUUGGUCAAUGGGCGCGAGCCUGAACCAGCCAUCCCGCGUGCAGGAAGAAGGCCCUAUGGGUUGUAAACUGCUUUUGUGCAGGAAUAAAUGUACCCU